GGGUUGUGAGGUUAAGCGACUAAGCGUACACGGUGGAUGCCCUGGCAGUCAGAGGCGAUGAAGGACGUGCUAAUCUGCGAUAAGCGUCGGUAAGGUGAUAUGAACCGUUAUAACCGGCGAUUUCCGAAUGGGGAAACCCAGUGUGUUUCGACACACUAUCAUUAACUGAAUCCAUAGGUUAAUGAGGCGAACCGGGGGAACUGAAACAUCUAAGUACCCCGAGGAAAAGAAAUCAACCGAGAUUCCCCCAGUAGCGGCGAGCGAACGGGGAGCAGCCCAGAGCCUGAAUCAGUGUGUGUGUUAGUGGAAGCGUCUGGAAAGGCGCGCGAUACAGGGUGACAGCCCCGUACACAAAAAUGCACAUGCUGUGAGCUCGAUGAGUAGGGCGGGACACGUGGUAUCCUGUCUGAAUAUGGGGGGACCAUCCUCCAAGGCUAAAUACUCCUGACUGACCGAUAGUGAACCAGUACCGUGAGGGAAAGGCGAAAAGAACCCCGGCGAGGGGAGUGAAAAAGAACCUGAAACCGUGUACGUACAAGCAGUGGGAGCACGCUUAGGCGUGUGACUGCGUACCUUUUGUAUAAUGGGUCAGCGACUUAUAUUCUGUAGCAAGGUUAACCGAAUAGGGGAGCCGAAGGGAAACCGAGUCUUAACUGGGCGUUAAGUUGCAGGGUAUAGACCCGAAACCCGGUGAUCUAGCCAUGGGCAGGUUGAAGGUUGGGUAACACUAACUGGAGGACCGAACCGACUAAUGUUGAAAAAUUAGCGGAUGACUUGUGGCUGGGGGUGAAAGGCCAAUCAAACCGGGAGAUAGCUGGUUCUCCCCGAAAGCUAUUUAGGUAGCGCCUCGUGAAUUCAUCUCCGGGGGUAGAGCACUGUUUCGGCAAGGGGGUCAUCCCGACUUACCAACCCGAUGCAAACUGCGAAUACCGGAGAAUGUUAUCACGGGAGACACACGGCGGGUGCUAACGUCCGUCGUGAAGAGGGAAACAACCCAGACCGCCAGCUAAGGUCCCAAAGUCAUGGUUAAGUGGGAAACGAUGUGGGAAGGCCCAGACAGCCAGGAUGUUGGCUUAGAAGCAGCCAUCAUUUAAAGAAAGCGUAAUAGCUCACUGGUCGAGUCGGCCUGCGCGGAAGAUGUAACGGGGCUAAACCAUGCACCGAAGCUGCGGCAGCGACGCUUAUGCGUUGUUGGGUAGGGGAGCGUUCUGUAAGCCUGCGAAGGUGUGCUGUGAGGCAUGCUGGAGGUAUCAGAAGUGCGAAUGCUGACAUAAGUAACGAUAAAGCGGGUGAAAAGCCCGCUCGCCGGAAGACCAAGGGUUCCUGUCCAACGUUAAUCGGGGCAGGGUGAGUCGACCCCUAAGGCGAGGCCGAAAGGCGUAGUCGAUGGGAAACAGGUUAAUAUUCCUGUACUUGGUGUUACUGCGAAGGGGGGACGGAGAAGGCUAUGUUGGCCGGGCGACGGUUGUCCCGGUUUAAGCGUGUAGGCUGGUUUUCCAGGCAAAUCCGGAAAAUCAAGGCUGAGGCGUGAUGACGAGGCACUACGGUGCUGAAGCAACAAAUGCCCUGCUUCCAGGAAAAGCCUCUAAGCAUCAGGUAACAUCAAAUCGUACCCCAAACCGACACAGGUGGUCAGGUAGAGAAUACCAAGGCGCUUGAGAGAACUCGGGUGAAGGAACUAGGCAAAAUGGUGCCGUAACUUCGGGAGAAGGCACGCUGAUAUGUAGGUGAAGCGACUUGCUCGUGGAGCUGAAAUCAGUCGAAGAUACCAGCUGGCUGCAACUGUUUAUUAAAAACACAGCACUGUGCAAACACGAAAGUGGACGUAUACGGUGUGACGCCUGCCCGGUGCCGGAAGGUUAAUUGAUGGGGUCAGCGCAAGCGAAGCUCUUGAUCGAAGCCCCGGUAAACGGCGGCCGUAACUAUAACGGUCCUAAGGUAGCGAAAUUCCUUGUCGGGUAAGUUCCGACCUGCACGAAUGGCGUAAUGAUGGCCAGGCUGUCUCCACCCGAGACUCAGUGAAAUUGAACUCGCUGUGAAGAUGCAGUGUACCCGCGGCAAGACGGAAAGACCCCGUGAACCUUUACUAUAGCUUGACACUGAACAUUGAGCCUUGAUGUGUAGGAUAGGUGGGAGGCUUUGAAGUGUGGACGCCAGUCUGCAUGGAGCCGACCUUGAAAUACCACCCUUUAAUGUUUGAUGUUCUAACGUGGACCCGUAAUCCGGGUUGCGGACAGUGUCUGGUGGGUAGUUUGACUGGGGCGGUCUCCUCCUAAAGAGUAACGGAGGAGCACGAAGGUUGGCUAAUCCUGGUCGGACAUCAGGAGGUUAGUGCAAUGGCAUAAGCCAGCUUGACUGCGAGCGUGACGGCGCGAGCAGGUGCGAAAGCAGGUCAUAGUGAUCCGGUGGUUCUGAAUGGAAGGGCCAUCGCUCAACGGAUAAAAGGUACUCCGGGGAUAACAGGCUGAUACCGCCCAAGAGUUCAUAUCGACGGCGGUGUUUGGCACCUCGAUGUCGGCUCAUCACAUCCUGGGGCUGAAGUAGGUCCCAAGGGUAUGGCUGUUCGCCAUUUAAAGUGGUACGCGAGCUGGGUUUAGAACGUCGUGAGACAGUUCGGUCCCUAUCUGCCGUGGGCGCUGGAGAACUGAGGGGGGCUGCUCCUAGUACGAGAGGACCGGAGUGGACGCAUCACUGGUGUUCGGGUUGUCAUGCCAAUGGCACUGCCCGGUAGCUAAAUGCGGAAGAGAUAAGUGCUGAAAGCAUCUAAGCACGAAACUUGCCCCGAGAUGAGUUCUCCCUGACUCCUUGAGAGUCCUGAAGGAACGUUGAAGACGACGACGUUGAUAGGCCGGGUGUGUAAGCGCAGCGAUGCGUUGAGCUAACCGGUACUAAUGAACCGUGAGGCUUAACCUUACAACGCCGAAGCUGUU
RNAcentral lists this ribosomal RNA (2930 nucleotides) under Escherichia coli. RNAcentral describes it as "bacterial LSU rRNA". It matches the Rfam family "Bacterial large subunit ribosomal RNA". The record is from RNAcentral. Lineage: Bacteria; Pseudomonadati; Pseudomonadota; Gammaproteobacteria; Enterobacterales; Enterobacteriaceae.